RNAcentral lists this ribosomal RNA (251 nucleotides) under uncultured prokaryote. Its description in RNAcentral is "partial 16S rRNA". It matches the Rfam family "Bacterial small subunit ribosomal RNA", at positions 525 to 775 of the family's 1533-position model. The record is from RNAcentral.
ACGUAGGAGGCAAGCGUUGUCCGGAAUGAUUGGGCGUAAAGGGCGCGCAGGCGGAAUGGUAAGUCUGGAGUGAAAGCCUUGGUCUCAAGGGGGGAACUGCUAUGGAUACUGUCGGGCUUGAGUGCAGGAGAGGUAGGUGGAAUUCCCGGUGUAGCGGUGAAAUGCGUAGAGAUCGCGAGGAACACCAAUGGCGAAGGCGACUUACUGGACUGUAACUGACGCUGAGGCGCGAAAGUGUGGGGAGCAAACAG